GGAGCUUGCUCCAGGCGUCGAGCGGCGGACGGGUGAGUAAUGCAUAGGAAUCUGCCCGGUAGUGGGGGAUAACCUGGGGAAACCCAGGCUAAUACCGCAUACGUCCUACGGGAGUAAGCAGGGGAUCCGUGUUCUUCGGAAUGGGGACCUUGCGCUAUCGGAUGAGCCUAUGUCGGAUUAGCUGGUUGGUGAGGUAAUGGCUCACCAAGGCGACGAUCCGUAGCUGGUCUGAGAGGAUGAUCAGCCACAUCGGGACUGAGACACGGCCCGAACUCCUACGGGAGGCAGCAGUGGGGAAUAUUGGACAAUGGGCGCAAGCCUGAUCCAGCCAUGCCGCGUGUGUGAAGAAGGCUUUCGGGUUGUAAAGCACUUUCAGUGAGGAAGAAGGCCUUGGGGUCAAUACCCCCGAGGAAGGACAUCACUCACAGAAGAAGCACCGGCUAACUCCGUGCCAGCAGCCGCGGUAAUACGGAGGGUGCGAGCGUUAAUCGGAAUUACUGGGCGUAAAGCGCGCGUAGGCGGCGUGAUAAGCCGGUUGUGAAAGCCCCGGGCUCAACCUGGGAACGGCAUCCGGAACUGUCAGGCUAGAGUGCAGGAGAGGAAGGUAGAAUUCCCGGUGUAGCGGUGAAAUGCGUAGAGAUCGGGAGGAAUACCAGUGGCGAAGGCGGCCUUCUGGACUGACACUGACGCUGAGGUGCGAAAGCGUGGGUAGCAAACAGGAUUAGAUACCCUGGUAGUCCACGCCGUAAAC
This 751-nucleotide ribosomal RNA is filed under the name uncultured Pseudomonadota bacterium. Its description in RNAcentral is "bacterial SSU rRNA". It matches the Rfam family "Bacterial small subunit ribosomal RNA", at positions 75 to 807 of the family's 1533-position model. The record is from RNAcentral. Lineage: Bacteria; Pseudomonadati; Pseudomonadota.